AUGGCCCAGGUGUCCCUGCUCAGCCCACGGGUGGGCACCACGCCGCACACUCAGGAGCACUUUGCUUUUCCGCUUCGUGUGUGUGGCUGCUCCCCGGGCUCCUCUUUGUGUCCUGAAGUGAGUGCCGACAGGCCUUUCAUUCUCAUCCUUUCUGUCUGCGACUUACCUUCGGGCACAGCUGCGAUUCUCAGCUCUGAGGGACAGUGGGAAGCCCAGGUGAAGCCCAGGUUUGGAGACUUGCGAGAAGGGAGGGCCAGUUGGUUGUUGACGAAGACAUCAGACGACGGUGCUCAGUGUCACCCAAGCUGGAGGACAGCAGGGACCUUCAGCAGCCCAGACCUCUCCCCGACAGCCGCUGUGUACCUGGGGACCCAGCCCCUCUGAGAAUUCGACCUCCUUUCCUGGACAGUUGCGGAGGAGAGGGUUUGACAGUGACUCAGCCUCCAUAUAAACUUCCCUAAGCCUUUAGAAGAAAAGCAACGUGGAAAAUAAAACUCAACCAUAGACGCUAAAGGACAAUGCCAAAAAAUGCAAAUGUGAAAAGUGAGUUGUUAAGCUUAUAGCAGUGUGUGUGCCCUGGCUCUCUGAUGU
RNAcentral lists this long non-coding RNA (591 nucleotides) under Chinchilla lanigera (long-tailed chinchilla). RNAcentral's name for it is "lncRNA (ENSCLAG00000022671.1)". The record is from RNAcentral. Lineage: Eukaryota; Metazoa; Chordata; Mammalia; Rodentia; Chinchillidae.